GGUGACUAUGGUCACUAAAAGAAAGACACAGAAAAAAGCACUCCCUAGUUUCCUUCUAAGAGAGUAGCUGACAGUUUCAGCUCCAGGAGGGACACUGUGCUCCUAAUACAGCUGACACAUGGGCUAAAGUACCAGGGAUCUGUCUGCUUCUGUCUCCCCACUGCUGAGAUUAAAGAUGUGUGACACUGCUGCCUGACCUUUAUGGUUAACUAAUGUGGCUAGCUCUGUGCUCUGAUCCUCAGUUCCCUCCCCCCUCCCCACUAUGGCCUUCAUCCAGCAGCUGGUGGAAGUAGAAGCAGACACCCACAGCUAAACCUUGAACUGAACUGAAAUCCAGAUGCAGAGGAGGAGGACUGAUGAACAAAGGGGUCCAUACCAGGCUGGUGAAACCCACAGAAACAGCUGACCUGAACAAGGGAAAACUCUUGGUCCCCAGACUGAUAGCCUGGAAAUCAGCAUGGGACUGAUCCAGACCCCCUGAAUGUGGGUGUCAGUGAGGAGACCUUGGAAAUCUAUGGGGCCUCUUGUAGUGGAUCAGUACUUAUUGCUACCAUAGGAAUGGACUUUAGGAGCCCAUCCCACAUGGAGGGAUACUCCCUGAGCCUAGACACAAGGGGAUUGGCCUAGGCCCUAUCCCAAAGAAUAUGACAGACUUUGAAGACACCCUCUGGAAGGUCUCACCCUUCCUGGGGAGCAGAAAGGGUAUGGGAUGGGUAGGGUGUUAAUUGG
This 729-nucleotide long non-coding RNA is filed under the name Cricetulus griseus (Chinese hamster). RNAcentral's name for it is "lncRNA (ENSCGRG00015034278.1)". The record is from RNAcentral. Lineage: Eukaryota; Metazoa; Chordata; Mammalia; Rodentia; Cricetidae.